RNAcentral lists this ribosomal RNA (539 nucleotides) under Salmonella enterica. RNAcentral describes it as "partial 23S ribosomal RNA". It matches the Rfam family "Bacterial large subunit ribosomal RNA", at positions 1 to 570 of the family's 2925-position model. The record is from RNAcentral. Lineage: Bacteria; Pseudomonadati; Pseudomonadota; Gammaproteobacteria; Enterobacterales; Enterobacteriaceae.
GGGUUGUGAGGUUAAGCGACUAAGCGUACACGGUGGAUGCCCUGGCAGUCAGAGGCGAUGAAGGGCGUGCUAAUCUGCGAUAAGCGCCGGUAAGGUGAUAUGAACCGUUAUAACCGGCGAUACCCGAAUGGGGAAACCCAGUGUGAUUCGUCACACUAUCAUUAACUGAAUCCAUAGGUUAAUGAGGCGAACCGGGGGAACUGAAACAUCUAAGUACCCCGAGGAAAAGAAAUCAACCGAGAUUCCCCCAGUAGCGGCGAGCGAACGGGGAGGAGCCCAGAGCCUGAAUCAGCAUGUGUGUUAGUGGAAGCGUCUGGAAAGGCGCGCGAUACAGGGUGACAGCCCCGUACACAAAAGCGUAUGUGCUGUGAGCUCGAUGAGUAGGGCGGGACACGUGGUAUCCUGUCUGAAUAUGGGGGGACCAUCCUCCAAGGCUAAAUACUCCUGACUGACCGAUAGUGAACCAGUACCGUGAGGGAAAGGCGAAAAGAACCCCGGCGAGGGGAGUGAAAAAGAACCUGAAACCGUGUACGUACAAG